GAUUUCGUCGUCCGGCCUCGGGCCAAUCCCCAUCGUCCAAUCGCCCCCCGGUCAUCCCCGCGCUCCGCCCGCCCGCGAAUCAGUCGCGAGGUCAUCACCUCAUGCUUGUCCGCCGUCGCUCUGGCCUCCUCGUCGCGCUUGCCGUUGCCGAGGAUGCGGCCGCCUCCAGCCUCCACGGCCCUCCCUCUCAGGCAUCGUCUCCGCCCCAUGCGCCCCUGUUGAGGACGUGGCCACCUCCACCCUCCAUUGCCCGAGCCCUGAUCCCCCUCGAUCCCCGCCUCUGUCUCGGCCAGAUCUGGGGCGCCGCCUCGGGCGCCAGAUCCCGCCUCCCUGCGCCUAGCGGUUCCGGUGCCGAACGCCAACUUGGCGCCCCAGAAGCGGUGCCAGCGCGGCGACAGUGGCGGAGGUGGUUCGUCCAACGCCGCGGGGGACUCCGGGGACGCGGUCAUGGCGCGGUGGCAGCAGUCCAGACUGUAGUCAACGCGGCUGCCGAAGCACGAACAGGUGCUGCGCAACAGCCGGAGAUGCCUCAGGCGGAGGAGGCGAACUGGCGAAGGAAGCUGCUGUGGUCCGUGGCAUGGAGCCCAAGAUCCCGCACGGAGAUGGUGGGAGCUCCUCCAGCUGCAGAAGCAGCAGGCGUCGUCGGGGUUCGACUCGCCGGCGGCGACUGCGCUGACCAGUGGGUCCAUCGGCCUCCUUGAUGCCUGCCCUGCCUCCACACCCUCGACGGCAGGUGAGGAUUUCAUGCCCGUUAGCAUGAGAAAUCCCUUUCCUACUCGACCCACACCACACUGCUGCCAUCGAUUCGGAUCCGCGGGAGGAGUCCUGGGCCACUCACUCCACUCGCCAACCUAGAGAUCUCUUCACCCCUGCCUUUCCUUCGCUUUGUUGCGGCCGGCGACGUCGGGAACACCUGCUGUGUCCGAUUCGAUCCCAACCGGGGGUCUCCCCGGCUGCUAUCCAUGGCAGAGCCGCUCAGCUCAUCCGAAGAUGUGCCCGAUCCAUGAAUAUUUUGCCCUGCUCCCGGGUUGUUGAAUCCACGUGGUUUCAUCUCUGAACACUGCUUCGGAACAGAGAGUACUGGUGAUGAACAAUCAUGGGGAGAAUCUCGUGAGGCUGCUGCACCUCAUGGGGUCAAACAAGGUUACGUUGUAGUGCUCUGCCAUGGCUUGGGCUUCCAAGUGCUUGUUUUCAGGAUGAUGGAAUCAUUGAUUCAUUGUUGAUCUUGCGGCUGCGAUAUCAAAGAGUGGGAUUAGUGUGUUUCACUUUGAUUUCAGUGGAAAUGGGAAAGAUGAGCUCAAGAGGAUCGAGGUCUCAUGACGGAAGUCAUCACAGGGAUGGCCAAUGAGUUGGUUGCGUAAGAUCUAUUAUAUGUUUGGUUCAGUUCCGAGUGCGUUGCCAAGGCUGUAUCCCAUUCCAUGCAAAGGUCAGUAGUGUUUUUACAAGAGCUGAACGAAUCAUCCUCUAAAGCCAUGUCAUGACUUAAAUAUUGUGAGUGAACGAGAGGUUACUGUUCUGAAGAAGCACUGCUGUAUCUAUGAUAUGGAAUCAAAAAGUUCACUAUUCACGUUAUUCUGAAUUAGCAAGCCAUGAUCACUUAGUGACUUAUGCUUUCUGGUAGCGUUUUGUGACUUGUGAGCUAUGUCCAGUGUGAUAGUGUUCACUUUCAGAGUUGAACAAAUUGAUUUCAGAUACAAUAUGUAUGCACAUUACUUUUAUUCACAGAGUGCUAUAAAUUUUUUCCAUAACUGAUUUGGAACUGGUCCCAUCUUUCUUUAACAGCAACAUAGUGUUUACUUAAAUUUCAGUGUCCAACUAAGGGUCAGUGUAUGUGUGCAAGUGUGAAUAUGAACGUCUUCGAUUUUACUAUGAUUCGCAAAAAAAACAAUCGAGAUCUAUUGAUUGCAAGGUGUACUGUCUGCAACGACGAAGUUGGCAGAGGAGCAGCUUGAAUCAGCUUUAGCAGGAGCCCUCUAAUGUAGUAACAUGAUUUUAUUUCUUUAUUGCUGAUUUGGGAGUGCAUGUAAAAAAUAUUGGACAGAGAUUUAGGUUAGUUUUCACACUCCAUCUGUUGCAUUGAAAUAUUCAUGGUGAAGUGAAAAGUUGAAUAUUUAAGUUUUUUAUUUCUAAGCUGCUGCAAGCUAUGACUUUUUUUGAGUUUUUUAAAACUUCAUAGAGGCUCUGUUCACUCCUUUUAAAACAUUUUGCUAGACAUGGUUUUUUCACUUCAUUUUGAGAUCUUGUACGCAUCUCUUGUGAAUGAAUUUGAUUUUUUUAUCACCCGUGGCAACACACGGGCAUAGACUUAUUCUUAACUAAACUUGGAGGCAGUACAAAAAAAAAAGCUUGAUUUGGAUAGUUUGAUUGUUGAUAGUAGUAGAGAUUAUAUUUAGUAUCGUAGAACUACUCACUUUGUGCUAAGAUGCUGCUAAUGCAUGUUUACCAUACAAUUCUGGAGGAUAUAUGCUUGAUUAUAUCAUGAUGGCAGGCAAAACUUUUGAUCCCUUAAUUUGGAUUCCUCAAUGGGGAAGGAUUAGAAGCCAAUAUCUACUGUUUUUUUAAGUGUACUAUGUAAGAGAAUUUAGUGACUUUGUUUCGUGAUAUUUGUUCUCUUUCAGGAUAUUUGUUGAGUUAUGAAAUUUUUUUUGUAGUAGCAUCAUAAUAUAAUCCCUUCCGAUCAACGCUGAUUUUGUAUUUCAAUCUGAUUCGAAGUGGUGUUCAUAGGCUAAGCCAGAAACUCUAGUUUUGUGGGAACCAACCAACUUUUCAUAAGGAAUCAAAUCCAUAUGAAAGAAUCCUCACUCUCAUACUGAGAAGAACUUUACAGAUUAUGCCUUAUUGAUUCAGACAUUACGUAGGGUAGAGAAGAUUGGAACUCUCAGUAGCGCCUUAUGGGAACUGUACCUCUGCCUGAGGUACAAGGGAACAUUAAGAAAUCUGGCUAGAAUGGGAAAACCUGGUCUGGAAGAUCAGCUGGCAAAGGCAAGCGCAAGAUAAACCGCAAGCCAUGUGGCAAAUUCCAGAAGGGGAAGUUGUUUCUAGGACAAAAUAUGAGGGGAACAACAAAACCACUUGUCACAAGUUUGGUUGUUACAAUCGUGGUGAAGAAAUGCAGGACCCCGAAGCAUAUGGUGGAUCUCUACAUGAUGUUUGCGGGUGAUGGGCCAAACAAUCAGGAGUUUGAAGCACACUUCACCUCCCUCGAGCUUGAGACAGGCACUCCGGGCCAAGUUCCAGAUGGAACGGGACCAAGAAACACCACAACUUCACCAACUGCUGAGGACAAACUUCUGAAAGUCGAUGACAUGAUCGUGGACUACUCCACCAAUGUGUUUGGAGAUCACAUUUAGACUCCUCGCAACCUAGUCAUUUUCGUGUAGUAUUGUAAUUGGGAAAUGAUCUUGCUAUCUCUCAGUUGCUUUGUUGGAUUGUACUCAAGUACUGUUUCAAUUAAAUUGAUAUGUUCUAUA
Molecule: long non-coding RNA, 3470 nt
Organism: Panicum virgatum (switchgrass)
Lineage: Eukaryota; Viridiplantae; Streptophyta; Magnoliopsida; Poales; Poaceae
Exons: 4
Source: RefSeq, a predicted model, not a curated record